This 94-nucleotide transfer RNA is filed under the name Methylotenera versatilis 301. RNAcentral's name for it is "tRNA-Ser (GCT) (tRNA-Ser-GCT-1-1)". It matches the Rfam family "tRNA". From Rfam's summary of the family: Transfer RNA (tRNA) molecules are approximately 80 nucleotides in length. Their secondary structure includes four short double-helical elements and three loops (D, anti-codon, and T loops). Lineage: Bacteria; Pseudomonadati; Pseudomonadota; Betaproteobacteria; Nitrosomonadales; Methylophilaceae. The record is from RNAcentral. RNAcentral also lists the same sequence under 2 other names.
GGAGAGCUGGCCGAGUGGUCGAAGGCACUUCCCUGCUAAGGAAGCAUACGGGCUUAACCCUGUAUCUAGGGUUCGAAUCCCUAGCUCUCCGCCA